Molecule: ribosomal RNA, 513 nt
Filed under: uncultured Bacillota bacterium
Lineage: Bacteria; Bacillati; Bacillota
Description: bacterial SSU rRNA
Rfam family: Bacterial small subunit ribosomal RNA
Source: RNAcentral
AACGCCGCGUGAACGAUGAAGGCCUUCGGGUCGUAAAGUUCUGUUGUCAGGGAAGAACAAGUAUCGGAGUAACUGCCGGUACCUUGACGGUACCUGACCAGAAAGCCACGGCUAACUACGUGCCAGCAGCCGCGGUAAUACGUAGGUGGCAAGUCGUUGUCCGGAAUUAUUGGGCGUAAAGCGCGCGCAGGCGGUUCCUUAAGUCUGAUGUGAAAGCCCCCGGCUCAACCGGGGAGGGUCAUUGGAAACUGGGGAACUUGAGUGCAGAAGAGGAGAGCGGAAUUCCACGUGUAGCGGUGAAAUGCGUAGAGAUGUGGAGGAACACCAGUGGCGAAGGCGGCUCUCUGGUCUGUAACUGACGCUGAGGCGCGAAAGCGUGGGGAGCGAACAGGAUUAGAUACCCUGGUAGUCCACGCCGUAAACGAUGAGUGCUAAGUGUUAGAGGGUUUCCGCCCUUUAGUGCUGCAGCAAACGCAUUAAGCACUCCGCCUGGGGAGUACGGCAGCAAGGCUG